RNAcentral lists this ribosomal RNA (486 nucleotides) under uncultured bacterium. Its description in RNAcentral is "partial 16S ribosomal RNA". It matches the Rfam family "Bacterial small subunit ribosomal RNA", at positions 44 to 523 of the family's 1533-position model. The record is from RNAcentral.
GUGCCUAACACAUGCAAGUCGAGCGGGAACCUCGGGAGGGGCAACCCUUCCGAGGGGAGAGCGGCGAACGGGCGAGUAACACGUGGGCAACCUGCCCCGGACACCGGGAUAACCCAGGGAAACCUGAGCUAAUACCGGAUACUCCGGCGUGAUCGCAUGGUCGCGCCGGGAAAGCCCCAACGGUCCGGGAUGGGCCCGCGGCCUAUCAGCUUGUUGGUGGGGUGAUGGCCUACCAAGGCGACGACGGAUAGCCGGCCUGAGAGGGUGAUCGGCCACACUGGGACUGAGACACGGCCCAGACUCCUACGGGAGGCAGCAGUGGGGAAUCUUGCGCAAUGGGCGGAAGCCUGACGCAGCAACGCCGCGUGGGGGAUGACGGCCUUCGGGUUGUAAACCUCUUUCGCGAUCGACGAAGGCCCACUUUCUGUGGGUUGACGGUAGGUCGAGAAGAAGCACCGGCCAACUACGUGCCAGCCGCCGCCGUAA